This 21-nucleotide non-coding RNA is filed under the name Arabidopsis thaliana (thale cress). The record is from RNAcentral. Lineage: Eukaryota; Viridiplantae; Streptophyta; Magnoliopsida; Brassicales; Brassicaceae.
UUCCUAGAUAUAUGUAUUAGA